This 1147-nucleotide ribosomal RNA is filed under the name uncultured eukaryote. RNAcentral describes it as "bacterial SSU rRNA". It matches the Rfam family "Eukaryotic small subunit ribosomal RNA", at positions 24 to 1182 of the family's 1831-position model. The record is from RNAcentral.
ACAUGCAUCUGUUGUUUCAAGAUUAGCCAUGCAUGUCUAAGCAUGCGCUGAAGUAAAGUGAAGCCGCGAAUAGCUCAUUACAACAGCCGUUGUUUCUUGGAUCUCUUCUCUACUUGGAUAACUGUGGUAAUUCUAGAGCUAAUACAUGCAACGAAGCUCCGAACGUAAGUGACGAGCGCAUUUAUUAGACCAAAGCCAUCCGGCUUCGGCCGUACUUUGGUGACUCUGAAUAACCUAGCCGAUCGCAUGGGCUUGUCCCGGCGACGAAUCUUUCAAGUGUCUGCCUUAUCAACUUUCGAUGGUAGUCUAUGCGACUACCAUGGUUGUGACGGGUAACGGAGGAUCAGGGUCUGACUCCGGAGAGGGAGCCUGAGAAACGGCUACCACUUCUAAGGAAGGCAGCAGGCGCGCAAAUUACCCAUUCUCGGAACGAGGAGGUAGUGACGAAAAAUACCAAGGUGAGGCUCAUUGAGUUUCGCCAUUGGAAUGAGAACAAUCUAAAUCUUUUAACGAGGAUCUAGUUGAGGGCAAGUCUGGUGCCAGCAGCCGCGGUAAUUCCAGCUCAGCGAGUGUAUUCCUUCUUGCUGUGGUUAAAAAGCUCGUAGUUGGAUCUGAGUGCUUAGCGUCUAGUGCAGUUCGCUGUUACUGGGCGCGGCACAUGAUCGUCAAUCGGUUGCCGUUGUUGCCUUAACUGGUGAUGGCGGUUUACUGUUGACAAGUUUACUUUGAACAAAUCAGAGUGCUCAAUACGGGCGUUUCGCUUGUAUGGUUGUGCAUGGAAUAAUAGAAUAGGACCUUGGUUCUAUUUUGUUGGUUUUCGGAAUUGAGGUAAUGAUUAAGAGGGACAGACGGGGGCAUUCGUACUCCAGCGUGAGAGGUGAAAUUCUUGGAUCGUUGGAAGACGAACUACUGCGAAAGCAUUUGCCAAGAAUGUUUUCAUUAAUCAAGAACGAAAGUAAUGGGUUCGAAGGCGAUCAGAUACCGCCCUAGUCAUUACCGUAACGAUUGUAACUGGGAGCUAGCAGCGUUUUCUAUGACUCUGCUAGAACCCACCCGGAAACGAGAAGUCUUCGAUAUCCGGGGGAAGUAUACUUGCAAAUGCGAAACUUAAAGGAAUUGACGGAAGGGCACCACCAAGGGGUGGGAG